This is an RNA transcript of Triticum aestivum (bread wheat), 3282 nucleotides long. It is a transcript of the gene named proline-rich receptor-like protein kinase PERK2, with no coding region annotated. The record is from RefSeq and is a predicted model, not a curated record. The transcript has 3 exons. NCBI's taxonomy places the organism in Eukaryota, Viridiplantae, Streptophyta, Magnoliopsida, Poales, Poaceae.
GCCCAAAAACAGAACAGAAAGUUACAGGCCGUGAGCCUCACUCUGUCACUCCCCAUGAACCCCGCCGCCUCCCUCUCUCCCACGCCGGCGCCGCCCUUGCCUCGCGCCGGCAGCUGCCAAACCCUGCACGGCGGCCUCCUCCCUCCCCUGCACUCCGGUCAACUUCCUCUUCGCACGACGACCUCCUCCCAACCCCACGCUCCGGCCGCCUUCCUCCCCGUGCUUCGGCCUCCUUCCUUCCCCGCCUCCGGUAGCCUUCCUCCCCGCGCUCCGGCCGCCUUCCUCGCCGCGCUCCGGCCUCCUCCCUCCCCCGACUCCGGUCACCUUCCUCCCCGCGCUCCGGCCGCCUUCCUCCCUGAGAUUCGCCCACCUUCCACCCCCGAGAUCCCAGCGCCGGCGCCCAACCCCUCCGUCUGUGAGCUAGGGGACUGGGACGCCCUCCUCGCCGCGGCGUCAUUGCUGGCCGUCAGCGGCGGAAGCGGGGUGGCGGCCGGGACCUUGUCGUGCUCAUCUCCGACUACUGUAAAGUAAAAAUUCAGGUUGGGAAGCUUAUUUUUUCCAAAGUGAUUGUUUGGGUACUACAAGCUCGCACAGAGUGGAAGCAGUUGUUACAACAGGUUUGAAGUAGAUAUUACAAAAGGUUUGAUUUUUCUAGACCAUAUACAAAAACUGUAGCAGUUCUAGUACUUAUGCAGUCGUCUGCCUGUUCUUAACUUUGUUUGAUUUGUUUAGUGAAAUAUAUAAAAGCCAGUAGCAGUACUAUUACUUAUUUUACAACAGGUCAUUGACUAAAACUAUAUCAGUUUAGCAAUGUACUUACAAAAACAAAUCAACAGGUUUGUAGGUUUUUUUCAGCUCAUCUUGUUGGCUUUUUCAGUUCAUAUUGCAGGCUUGUAGGAUUAGAUUCUCAUGUGUGUUUUAGUAUUAGGGAGAAGUAAAACCAUUCAUUUCUUGUAUAUUUAUUAUUACUGUAGUACUAGCUACUCCGUUCUAGUAGUAUAUGGAGUAUGUGAUCAGCUCAUGCAGUAUAUACUAUGCACAAAAUGUCUGUACAGUGCUUUACAUACAAAAAACUUGCUUUCUCUAGACCAUGCAAGCUUCCUCAAAGGAGCUCGUGUCGAACGAGUGCUUUACAUACAAAUGAGUGCAAUGAUGGGCCAUUAGAUUAAUAUCCAGGCACACGCGACAUCUCUGAUCGCGUGGCCGGCGCCAUUAUCUUAAAUUUUUGUUUCUGCACUAAGUUUAAUAAUGUAUUUUGUUCACAAAAUUUUAGUGAAAAGUUAACUUCAUGUUACUCGUGAUCUCGCAACUGUAUGUUCACCUGUGAAGGUAUCUCUCAUUGCUUAUUGUUACAUUAAUUUCCAUGCUAAGAAAGGUUUACAUUAAAAGUAACAUCCAUAUAGGAAAAAUGCUUCUAUUCUUACACAUUUUUUUGGAAAAAAGAGCCCUAGUACUGAUGAGUCGUACUGACAAGGAUGCCGUCUACAAUUCAGAUGAGUCGUACUGACAAGGACAUAAUUAUUGUGCAAAUGGAAAAAACAAAUGUUUUAUAAAGAAAUGUGCUUGAAGCUCAAUUACUAUGGUCUAAAAUUCAAUUACAUCGCUAGUACAUUCAGAAUUGCUAAUUCAAAAAUGAAGUUCCUGUUUCAGGAUUAUGUAAGUUCAAAAUUAUUGUAUGAUGUGUGUGCCAUAGUUAUCUGAACUUCAAUCCUGACUAAUAUUCCAUUAUAGUACUACUGCAUAUUCACUUCUGAUUGCUUCUUGCUACCACUAUUUUUAUCAUGAUUUUGUGUGUCCACCCAGGAGUGUUUUUGUUUCGGUAGGUCAGCUGCUCAACAACAGAAGCAUGUACUGCCCAAUACAUGUAUUACUACUGCGAAGGUUCAGUAUUCAGAACUCAACAAGUUCAACAUUGAUGGUACUGUGCACAUGCGCUAAGCCGUUCUAUAACAUAGCGCUAAGCCGUCCUACGCCGCAGCUCGGGAGGUGAAGGAGCUCCCAUUGGGUUCAUCUUGCAGGUUUCGUUCAAACUUGGCCACCUAGGCCGUUCAACAACACCACCAGAGCCUGUUCAGUUGCUGGCGUUCCUGCAGCUGCAGAUGUGGUGCUGACAGUACUAGGCGUUGGUUGUAUUUGAUCAAAUGCCUAGGAGCUCCCAUGAUUUAGCAAGCACUGUUGCUCAAUUUUCUAGGUUUAGUUCAGUCCAAUUUUUAGAUAGCAUAGUGCAUGCUCAAAAAUAUCAUCGGUUCAUGUUUCAAAUUUAGAUAUAUCACCUAAAAUAAGUUUCAAAAGAAAAAUUAUGUAAGUUCAAUCUGUGUGCUGCUUCAAUUUUGCAAUUCUUGUCGAGUCGUACUAGUACUGAUGAAUAACGAGUUACUGAUAUAACUAUUACCGAUUGAAAAAUGUAGGGGUUGAAGUAAACCCUCUCAAUAUAACUAUUACUGAUAUAUGUGCUCUGCCUGCACAUUUUUUCUUACGUUCUAAAAUUCGUAGAGCUUCAGUCCAACUAUGUUGCUUCUGAGACUUGAAGCGCACUUCCAACUUCAAGCGGACUCCGCAGUCGUCAGUGACGAUGAGACGGUUGCUUGCGUUUGUAGGAGUACUAUGUAGUUGCAGAUUAGCUAUUACUCAGCCAUCAUGGUUUGUAGGAGUACUACCUAGUUGCAGAUUGUAUUAGGUGUUUCUCUUACUAUUUUGCUGCUGAUUCUUGGACACAGUAUACUUUCUCGUAUGUUUCAUCAAAUAGAGCACGUCAAAUCUAAGUCAAUACUCAAUAAUAUCAAUUUUGUGAUGCAUCUUCUUUCCAUUGAGGAACUGUACUCCAAUUUCCAGGUGCAGCGUGACAUGAGCUUUCUGACCCCAUUUCCAGGUGCAGCGCCAGGGAUCUGACUGUGGGGUGCGUGAAGGCACUAGCGACUCUGCUUCCAUUUCUCUUCAGAAGUUCUGCUAACCAAUUAGUCACUGAUAAGAUGACUUUGCUUCCAACUAGCCACUGAAAGUUGUGGCCAUUUAAUGUCACCUUCUACAUUUGAGAUAGGUCAAACUGUAAUCUUCCAAUGUUAUCGUUUGGUAGCUUAAGAUGCUUUAUGUUUUGUUGAUCUACAGAGUGGCUAUCUGAGAGUUAUGUUGAACUUUCUUAUUACAGUUUGAAACUUCUUUAAAAAUCCGAGUUGAUUCUAAAUGUGUUUUCGUCAUCAGUUCUAAAAAUCCCAGAGCAUCCGUCCAACUUUGUAUCAGGAAAUACUAUGUUGCUUCUUUGAUUUCUGUAUGGUUUUGUAUUGA